CAUAUAAUCCGAGAAACAUUCCAUCUGGUAUCUAAAAGAGACGAUAAUGUGUGUAACUUUCUAGAAGGUGGAACGUAUGCGGUGGAAAACAUACAGUAUCGAUCGAAGACAGAGAUAAACUACGUUACAAAGUCCGUGGAAUCAACUAUUAAAGAAAUACUACGUAUUGCUAAACCAGUUGUACUUGCCAUAUACAGAACCAGCCCGCGUGAAAUAAAAGUAGAACAAUAUACUAUUCCAGCUAAGUCCAUCAUACUGUUUGAUUUAAAUGAUCCACAGAUCGACCCUAAACUAUGGGACCAUCCUAAUGAAUUCGAUCAUGACAGAUGGACAACCCCACAGAAGAUUGGAUAUCUUUUCUUUGGUAUACAUGGUAUAGGUAAAUGUAUAACGGACAAAGGUUUUAGUACUGUAGCUCU
This is a long non-coding RNA of Mytilus californianus (California mussel), 419 nucleotides long. RefSeq lists it as uncharacterized. The record is from RefSeq and is a predicted model, not a curated record. NCBI's taxonomy places the organism in Eukaryota, Metazoa, Mollusca, Bivalvia, Mytilida, Mytilidae. The transcript is spliced from 3 exons.